This is a long non-coding RNA of Equus caballus (horse), 2365 nucleotides long. The record is from Ensembl. NCBI's taxonomy places the organism in Eukaryota, Metazoa, Chordata, Mammalia, Perissodactyla, Equidae.
UGGAGAAGCGAGAACUACAUUCACAAGUCAACUUCUCAGCUCCUGGAGUGGUUAGGCUUGUUCCGAGCGGGGCUGUGGUUAAUGUCUUAUGGGGUCGGUGGGCUGGGUAACAGAUCCACAAUCCCACUUAAACCAAAUCUCACUCCAGGGUAAAUGGGUGUGACUGUGCUGGUUUUCAGAGGAGAAGGCUAGCGGGUUGGGGGGGAUGUGACCUGCAGAAUGAGGGUGGAGGAGGGGCUCCGGGGGGAGGCUGACGAACCUCCUUCACAGGAAGUUGUGAGGGUCACAGGGGAGGGGCUGUGGGAAGCUCUCAGCACCGUGCCUGGCACACAGUAGCUGCUCAGAUAAGUGGCUGUCCACUUGAGUUGGGUUCCCAGGCAACUUGCUGAGCUGGGUGGGGGUGGUACCAGGAGCCCUAGAUGCUGGGGGGGCAGCCAUCAGGCUCUUCCACAUCCUGCAACAGGGACCUCAGUACACCCUGGCUUGAGCUCAGAGGGAUUUAUUGGGUUAUACAGAGAAGCUCAGAGACAGGGCAGCCUCCAGGAGCAGCUUGACCCAGGGGCUCAAACGAGGCCACCCAGGACCUGCUUCUUCUUUCUUCAUCUUUCAGCAACUCUCCUCUAUGCAAGACCACUCUCGGGCCCCCCUUCCUGGUGGCUGGAUGUGUUCCAUUCAGAUUGCAGUCCAGUGGAGAAGAAAAAAGUUCUCUUUUUCAUAGUUGAUCAAAAGUCCCAGGCCACUGGCUCUAAGAGACACACCCCACCCCCGUACCAUCAGAAAACACAGAGAGUUAGGAUGUGCAGACCGGCUCAGGCCAAUCAGGGUCCAACCCAUGAGAGAGGUUAACCCUACCUGAGCCACAGAGGCUGAGAGUAGGGAGGGGUACAGCUUCCCUAGUAAAAGAAUGAAGGGGAACUCCGCCAUAAAAACCCACAGAUGUUCUUUAAUGAAUUUGGGGGGGGGCAGUAAAACAUAUUAAUAGAAACAAAAUAGAGGGAAAAAACACAAAUAGUUAUGUAUUAUGGCUCAUCUCAUCUCCUUUUCCCAAUAGUCCAAUGAUACUGGAGCUCCUAUUGUCCUCGGUAUAGAAUCCCAGGCUUUUAGGAUUAGAAGGAUCUUCAAACCCCUUGGUCCAACCCCCUCAUUUUCACAGGCAAGGCAACAGAGACCAAGAGGGCUUAAGUGACUGUCUCGAGGUCGCACAGCUCAGGGGAAGAUGGUGGCGUAGGAAGCACCAGGAAUCCUCCUGCUCAGCCAGAUAACAACAGUACUGGCAGGGUCUGUCCGAUGUGACUACUUUGGAAGUCUGGAGUCUUUUAAAGGCUGGCAACUUCUCCCAGGGGAAGUCUUGGCCAGUAAAUUGUGGUUAAUUUCAGCUCUUAGCUUAGUAGCAGCUACCCAUCCCCCACUCCCUGACCCCGUGUCAGGGGGCAGUGCAAGCGUUCCUGGAGCAGCUUGUACACAGCUGUGGGCAACAGGCCUCUGUCCUCCAAAUAUCGGGAUCUGUGUUCUGAUCACUGAUCGCUUCUUCUGACUGGGGAGGUGCGGACGCAGAGGUGAGCAGCCCUUGUUGCAAACCCCUUCCCCUCCAGCUGAAGUGACUUCCAGGGGACUUAAAGGGCUGGUGCAUUUUUUCCCCCUUAAUUUCUCUUUUUUCUCUUUUAGGACCCAGCUGUUUAAGGAGGAGGACAUUCAAAAGCAAUGCACAUACAGGGGAAUUUAGAAAGUCACUGCACAUGCCCAGAGGAAGGUGCAGGUGUUACGGGACGAGGCUCGUUUUGCCUGCUACACAGUAUGCCAAUCACUGAGACGACGAGGUUGCGGCCGAGAGAAAGGGUUUGUUCACAAGGCAGACAAGUGAGGAGGUGGCAGAACAAGUCUCAAAUCCACCUCCCCGAAAAUGGGGAUGAGGGAUGUUUAUGGGCUAUUUAUGGGCAGAGUGGUCUGAAGCACGAGCAUAGAUGCCUGGAGGUGAGAAGGGAGGCAACUGAUAAUCUGCACAGGAACAGUGAAGCUCCACGGCUCUUCAUCUCCUCAGAGGACACAUGUUCACAAAACGGCAGCGUUACCAGGAUCUGAGGGUGGAGCAUUCGUGCUGGCCCAAUGAUGGGUUCGUGGUCUUAACUGGCCUGAAGUGGACAAGGAGUCCACUCUCAGUUCCUGAAAAACAGAAGCACCGUUAUCAUGAUGACCCAGGUGCCAGAGAUGCUACCUCUAGGGUGGGCCUGAGUAAUGCAUCAUCCAACUGCUUCUGCAAACAGACCGCUGAGUAAAGUUAAAGCAAGGGGGCCCCCAGUUUCACAGGCUCAGACGAGGUCUGAGAAGACCUUAAAUUUGAAACCUUAAAUAAGAAAUUAAAGCUUCC